This 580-nucleotide long non-coding RNA is filed under the name Homo sapiens (human). RNAcentral's name for it is "HSALNT0306894". The record is from RNAcentral. Lineage: Eukaryota; Metazoa; Chordata; Mammalia; Primates; Hominidae.
CAAGGCAACAGACGCAUGAGAGUGAGGUAUUUAUCUGAGGGCGAUUGAAGUCACCAGCUUAACAGUAGUGGAAAGACCUUAAGCCAGAGAACUCCAGGUUCAAGAACCACCACCUGCAAACUUGGCAAAUUUGGACAAAUGUCUCUCUGAGUUUCAUUGUCUUCAUCCACAAAUAAAGCAAGAUUACUUCGCCUACAGAAUUGCGGGACACCCUCUUUUUAAAGGACAUUCAAUUCAAAUGUAUCUUCUCUGGUUAAAGUAUGGUGAAGUCUGUCCUGUGGGCACUCCCCAUUGACUCCUAGCAGCUCUUGAGCCCCAUCUUCAGGAUCCGUACUUUGAUAGUCACUGACAAUUAGCUUUGAAAAUCUAUAGUUCCAAUCCUGUGAAAUGAGAAGAAUGUUGAAGCUAUAAAGGAGGUCUUUGCCUGCAUUCAGAUUCUGACACCAAAGACUCCUCUGAUUAUACUGAAGUAUGUAAGAAAACCUUCUCUUGAAAUCAAGGACCAUUUCUCUUCAUCUUAUCUUGAGCUACAUACCAAAUAUGAGUACACAUAGUUAGGAUUCAAUAAAUAAUUUAAGAU